Non-coding RNA from Picea glauca (white spruce), 613 nucleotides. The record is from Rfam. Lineage: Eukaryota; Viridiplantae; Streptophyta; Pinopsida; Pinales; Pinaceae.
UCUCUAACCACACUUUGAGUCGUGACUAGAUAAAUACCAAUAGAUAAUGAAGAGAGCACCUCAAAUUCGAAUAAGUGUAUGCUCGAGCAUAAUAGAUCAACUCCUUAUACUUUAUAUUCUCAGAUACAAAAUUUAUAUCGCCACCUGGGGUGGUAGUAUGUUACAAGGGUUGGGAUAUUCUCCCAUUAAUGCAGUAUGCAAGCUAGGUUUAGAAUGUCAUGAGACAAUUCGGUCUAUAUCUGAUGCAUGCACUAGAACAUUGAGAGGACCUUUCCCUAGUAUGAGAGGACCGGAAAGGAUGCACCUUUGGUGUAUCAUUUAUCAUGCCCACGAUAUAUGUUAGUUAUCCAAGUGCAGAGAAGAUAACUACUGAAAUCAUAUAAGUAGGUAGCCCACCCUAAGAUGAGUGCUCUCAUUUUCUUACUUCCCCAAGAGCCCCUAGUUGCGAAUACAACUAGGAAAAUGAAGGGUUAUUUGUCCUUGCAAGGGAUGGAGUGACAAAAUCAUUGAGAAUACAAGACAAUGUCACAGUGAUAUGAUCCAUUUAUCAUUACAAUAGGUGUCAAGUGGAAGUGUAGUGAUGUAUGCAACUGAGGAAUCCUAACAAGAUCAA